Molecule: ribosomal RNA, 301 nt
Filed under: uncultured bacterium
Lineage: Bacteria
Description: partial 16S ribosomal RNA
Rfam family: Bacterial small subunit ribosomal RNA
Source: RNAcentral
CAGCCGCCGCGGUAAUACAGAGGGUGCAAGCGUUAAUCGGAAUUACUGGGCGUAAAGCGCGCGUAGGUGGUUUGUUAAGUUGGAUGUGAAAUCCCCGGGCUCAACCUGGGAACUGCAUCCAAAACUGGCAAGCUAGAGUAUGGUAGAGGGUGGUGGAAUUUCCUGUGUAGCGGUGAAAUGCGUAGAUAUAGGAAGGAACACCAGUGGCGAAGGCGACCACCUGGACUGAUACUGACACUGAGGUGCGAAAGCGUGGGGAGCAAACAGGAUUAGAUACCCCGUAGUCCCUGUCUCUUAUACC